CGGUAAACGGCGGCCGUAACUAUAACGGUCCUAAGGUAGCGAAAUUCCUUGUCGGGUAAGUUCCGACCUGCACGAAUGGCGUAACGAUUUGGGCGCUGUCUCGACGAGAGUCUCGGUGAAAUUGCAAUACCCGUGAAGAUGCGGGUUAACCAUGGCAAGACGGAAAGACCCCGUGGACCUUUACUGCAGUUUGGCAUUGAAUUUCGGUAUAAUAUGUAGAGGAUAGGUGGGAGGCUGUGAAGUUCCGACGCUAGUCGGGAUGGAGCCAACCUUGGAAUACCACCCUUAUUAUGUUGAAGUUCUAAUCCUGUAAGUUAUCCUUGCAGGAGACAUUGUCUGGCAGGCAGUUUGACUGGGGUGGUCGCCUCCCAAAAAGUAACGGAGGCACCCAAAGGUUCCCUCAGCGCGGUCGGUAAUCGCGCGUAGAGUGUAAAGGCAUAAGGGAGCUUAACUGUGAGACGGACGCGUCGAACAGGGACGAAAGUCGGGCUUAGUGAUCCUGCGGUUCCUAGUGGAAGGGCCGCCGCUCAUUGGAUAAAAGGUACCCCGGGGAUAACAGGCUUAUCUCCCCCAAGAGCUCAUAUCGACGGGGAGGGUUGGCACCUCGAUGUCGGCUCAUCGCAUCCUGGGGCUGUAGGAGGUCCCAAGGGUUGGGCUGUUCGCCCAUUAAAGCUGGUACGCGAGCUGGGUUUAGAACGUCGUGAGACAGUUCGGUCCCUAUCUGCCAUGGUCGUUGGAUAUUUGAGGAGAGCUGCCUAUCGUACGAGAGGAUAUAGGUGGACGAACCUCUGGUGUACCAGUUGUCGCGCCAGCGGCAUUGCUGGGUAGCUACGUUCGGAAGGGAUAAGCACUGAAAGCAUCUAAGUGCCAAGCCCACUCCAAGAUUAGAUAUCCCAAUCCCGGUAGCAAUAUCGGGAUAAUAAGACCCCCUGGAGACUACAGGGUUGAUAGGCCGAGGGUGUAAGUGCAGUAAUGUAUUUAGCCCAUCGGUACUAAUCGGUCGUUCGGCUUGACCAUAUUAC
This 1022-nucleotide ribosomal RNA is filed under the name Bacillota bacterium. Its description in RNAcentral is "partial 23S ribosomal RNA". It matches the Rfam family "Bacterial large subunit ribosomal RNA", at positions 1921 to 2925 of the family's 2925-position model. Lineage: Bacteria; Bacillati; Bacillota. The record is from RNAcentral.